GCAUUGGUAGUUCAUUGGAAGGAUUCUCGUCUUCCACUCCAGAGGCCUAAGUUUGAUUCCUGGCCAGUGUA
RNAcentral lists this transfer RNA (71 nucleotides) under Loxodonta africana (African savanna elephant). It matches the Rfam family "tRNA". Rfam says of the family: Transfer RNA (tRNA) molecules are approximately 80 nucleotides in length. The record is from Rfam by way of RNAcentral. Lineage: Eukaryota; Metazoa; Chordata; Mammalia; Proboscidea; Elephantidae.